Molecule: ribosomal RNA, 496 nt
Filed under: uncultured bacterium
Lineage: Bacteria
Description: partial 16S ribosomal RNA
Rfam family: Bacterial small subunit ribosomal RNA
Source: RNAcentral
GAUGAACGCUGGCGGCGUGCCUAAUACAUGCAAGUCGAGCGAACGGACGAGAAGCUUGCUUCUCUGAUGUUAGCGGCGGACGGGUGAGUAACACGUGGAUAACCUACCUAUAAGACUGGGAUAACUUCGGGAAACCGGAGCUAAUACCGGAUGAUAUUUUGAACCGCAUGGUUCAAAAGUGAAAGACGGUCUUGCUGUCACUUAUAGAUGGAUCCGCGCUGCAUUAGCUAGUUGGUAAGGUAACGGCUUACCAAGGCAACGAUGCAUAGCCGACCUGAGAGGGGGAUCGGCCAAACUGGAACUGAGACACGGCCCAAAACCCUACGGGGGGCAGCAGGAGGGAAUUUUCCGCAAUGGGCGAAAGCCUGAGGGAGCAACCCCGCGUGAGUGAUGAAGGUCUUCGGAUCGUAAAACUCUGUUAUUAGGGAAAAACAUAUGUGUAAGUAACGGUGCACAUUUUGACGGUACCUAAUCAAAAAGCCACGGCUAACUACGU